RNAcentral lists this non-coding RNA (114 nucleotides) under Ctenophora environmental sample. The record is from RNAcentral. Lineage: Eukaryota; Metazoa; Ctenophora.
CAAAAAGACAAAAACAAAAAAAAACAAAAAAAAGCAAUGUAGCAAAAACAAAUAACCAAAUUUCAUUUCAAAUUGAAGUUUUAAAUUUGAAUUUUCUUUUGUUCUUUUCCAUUU